This is an RNA transcript of Arabidopsis thaliana (thale cress), 239 nucleotides long. RefSeq lists it as uncharacterized. Lineage: Eukaryota; Viridiplantae; Streptophyta; Magnoliopsida; Brassicales; Brassicaceae. The transcript is spliced from 2 exons. The record is from RefSeq.
AAUUAAGAAAGAAGAAGAAAAAUGGCCAUGAUAAAUACAGUAGUUGGUUUUACUAUUCGGUUGGUGAUCCUUUUGUUCAUUUUGAUAGGGUGUUGAAAACCAUGCAUUCAUGCAUUCAUUAUCUUAGGUGGGGACAAGUAUAAAACAGUUGUGGCUUGGUGUGCAAGGAGAAAGUAGGUGAAAGUAUUUAAUAUUUAUAUUAAAGAGGGAAGUCCAUUUUCUAACUAAGACAAUCUUCU